ACAGGGGUACAGGUACAGAGUCAAUGUGGAGGCUAUAUACAGGGGGUACAGGUACAGAGACAUUGUGGAGGCUAUAUACAGGGGGUACAGAGACAAUGUGGAGGCUAUAUACAGGGGGUACAGGUACAGAGACAAUGUGGAGGCUAUAUACAGGGGGUACAGGUACAGAGACAAUGUGGAGGCUAUAUACAGGGGGUACAGGUACAGAGACAAUGUGGAGGCUAUAUACAGGGGGUACAGGUACAGAGACAAUGUGGAGGCUAUAUACAGGGGGUACCGGUACAGAGUCAAUGUGGAGGCUAUAUACAGGGGUACAGGUACAGAGUCAAUGUGGAGGCUAUAUACAGGGGGUACAGGUACAGAGACAAUGUGGAGACUAUAUACAGGGGGUACAGGUACAGAGACAAUGUGGAGGCUAUAUACAGGGGUACAGGUACAGAGUCAAUGUGGAGGCUAUAUACAG
Molecule: long non-coding RNA, 463 nt
Organism: Oncorhynchus tshawytscha (Chinook salmon)
Lineage: Eukaryota; Metazoa; Chordata; Actinopteri; Salmoniformes; Salmonidae
Source: Ensembl